RNAcentral lists this ribosomal RNA (468 nucleotides) under uncultured bacterium. RNAcentral's name for it is "partial 16S ribosomal RNA". It matches the Rfam family "Bacterial small subunit ribosomal RNA", at positions 28 to 507 of the family's 1533-position model. The record is from RNAcentral.
GACGAACGCUGGCGGCGUGCUUAACACAUGCAAGUCGAACGGAAAGGCCCUGCUUUUGUGGGGUGCUCGAGUGGCGAACGGGUGAGUAACACGUGAGUAACCUGCCCUUGACUUUGGGAUAACUUCAGGAAACUGGGGCUAAUACCGGAUAGGAGCUCCUGCUGCAUGGUGGGGGUUGGAAAGUUUCGGCGGUUGGGGAUGGACGCGCGGCUUAUCAGCUUGUUGGUGGGGUAGUGGCUUACCAAGGCUUUGACGGGUAGCCGGCCUGAGAGGGUGACCGGCCACAUUGGGACUGAGAUACGGCCCAGACUCCUACGGGAGGCAGCGGUGGGGAAUAUUGCACAAUGGGCGGAAGCCUGAUGCAGCAACGCCGCGUGCGGGAUGACGGCCUUCGGGUUGUAAACCGCUUUCGCCUGUGACGAAGCGUGAGUGACGGUAAUGGGUAAAGAAGCACCGGCUAACUACGUG